GCACUGCUGACGAGUCCUCAAAACAGGACGAAACAGCUGUCCAGUGC
RNAcentral lists this non-coding RNA (47 nucleotides) under Echinostoma caproni. The record is from RNAcentral. Lineage: Eukaryota; Metazoa; Platyhelminthes; Trematoda; Plagiorchiida; Echinostomatidae.